This 258-nucleotide ribosomal RNA is filed under the name uncultured bacterium. Its description in RNAcentral is "partial 16S ribosomal RNA". It matches the Rfam family "Bacterial small subunit ribosomal RNA", at positions 225 to 500 of the family's 1533-position model. The record is from RNAcentral.
AUGGGCUCGCGUUCUAUCAGCUAGUUGGUAGGGUAAUGGCCUACCAAGGCUACGACGGAUAGCUGGUCUGAGAGGACGAUCAGCCACACUGGGACUGAGACACGGCCCAGACUCCUACGGGAGGCUGCAGCAGGGAAUAUUGCGCAAUGAGCGAAAGCUUGACGCAGCGACACCGCGUGUGGGAUGACGGAUCUAGGUUUGUAAACCACUUUCAGGAGGGAAGAAAAUGACGGUACCUCCACAAGAAGCCCCGGCCAA